UACGGGGGGAGCAAGCGUUGUUCGGAUUUACUGGGCGUAAAGGGCGCGUAGGCGGUCGUGACAAGUCACUUGUGAAAUCUCCGGGCUUAACUCGGAACGGUCAAGUGAUACUGUCGGACUAGAGUACAGAAGGGGCAACUGGAAUUCUCGGUGUAGCGGUGAAAUGCGUAGAUAUCGAGAGGAACACCAAUUGCGAAGGCAGCUCGCUGGGACGUCACUGACGCUGAGACGCGAAAGCGUGGGGAGCAAACAGG
RNAcentral lists this ribosomal RNA (254 nucleotides) under uncultured bacterium. RNAcentral describes it as "partial 16S ribosomal RNA". It matches the Rfam family "Bacterial small subunit ribosomal RNA", at positions 524 to 776 of the family's 1533-position model. The record is from RNAcentral.